CCCAUUCCAUCUUUAUAUCAUUUACCUAACCCUAAAAAUGCUAUACACCUGCCCGCGGCGGGCAGCUCCCACCUGCCUGUUUCUGUUCGCCAUUGCCAGCCCCAAACGCCCAUCUCACCGUAACCGUUUCAGAAGCCCUUCUACCCAAGAUUCCUUCUCACUACACACUCUUUCACUCGCCCCCUACUAACCAAAAUCGCGCGUCGAUCUUUUUAGAAGGCAUGUGUUGGAGAUAUAGGAGCCAUAGGAUUGAUUUAAGGUUAAUACUAUCCCCCUAUUUUUUCAGGAUAUGUCUAUAAAAGAAAGGAUUCCACUCUGAGAAGGGGAUUUUUUUUUUUUGGAUCUGGAAAAAGAAAAAGUUUUCUUCUCUGAAUAUUUUUAUACAAAGACAACCGAAAAUCAAUUGGUAUUGUUCAUUUAUUAAAGAAAAUUUCUGGAAAACGAGGCAAAUGUCUGAAGUUUUAUAGCUGAGCUUCAAGUUCUCAACCCUAAUGGGUUGGUUUUUAAGUCAUUGGAGCCAGCUUUCCUGUUGAUUAAGCUUAGGUUUGGAUAUUGGGAGACUCAUUGUUGCUCUCGUCGGUUUCGAAUCCAUUUCCACUGUUGUUUUCCUUGUUUGCUACUGAACCUUGCUAGGAUUUUGGAGUCAAAGGUGUAUUUGCUGAUUCUAUAAUUACUAUAAAAGAAGAUUGCAAUUUCAGGUUUAAUCUCUUCUCCUAUGUACCUUUGUUUUAAGGUGUUAUUGAGCCAUGGGGAUUUGUUUCUAGAAUGGUGUUUUUCUUUGAUCAAAUUUCAUGAGGAAGUCGAACUUGGGAUUAUCAUUUAGUCUCAAUUCAUAUUUGAAAGUGAUAUUUGAUACGUUGUUCUUGCUGUUGAAUCUUUUCUCACUGGUUUGAUGUGCUUGAGUACGUUUAGUCAGUAAGAGUUGAUUUGAGUGGUCGUUUUUCUAUACUUUAUAUGCUUUAACUGUUAUUACGGUGUCGAAGUAUCUUUUGAGUCAAGAUUUCAUCGCUUUCAAAUGGACGAUGUGUUCAGCUUUGUAAUUGUUAAACGAGCAUAAACCUGUGAUGCUUAUUCUCAUGGUGUUUCUUUGGCUUAUUCUGCUAUCAAAAGAACGAUCGCAUGUCCUUAGGAAGUCAAAAUGGCCGAUCGAAUUUGAAACAGUGUUAUGAGUCUAAUUAGCCUAUUCUUCUGAAAUCUUCCUUAUUCGCUUGGGACUUUUAAACUAGUGUCGCCAUAUUAGCCUGACUAAUUGAUUUCAAGAGUUUUGUCGAUCAAUGACUUCCUGAUUUUUUAUUAAGGAUUAGCUACUUCACAAAAAUGAGUUCCCUGUGUGUUUUUUGCUGUCCACGAAAUGUUUUGAUGUUCAAAGUAGUCUGCUCAUGCUAAAUGCUUAGUCUCUACAUGUUUGACUUGAAUUGGUUAGUUUUAGGACUGCUAAACGAGUCAUGAAUCACUAAAGUGCCCUGUUUUCUGAUUUCAUGACCAUUUUAAUGCGCUUUGCUGGCUUGAAAUUGCUGAAAUUCUCCUUGAUAUUGUUUGUCUCUUGUUGAUUACUUGUUUAUCUUAAAACAUGCUCUGUUAUGCUAAAGGCAGUAUGGCUGAUCUCUGAUUGUCAGGGCAGCAACCGUGCUUAAAUGAUAAAUUGAUGCCCAUGUUUGGUAGUCUGAAGAACACUAAUUCUAAAUUUGGAUUAAUAAUGUUGUUUCUUCUAUAGUCAUGGCUCAAUGCUAGGUUAACUUGUAUGAUUGGAUUGAGUUAUUACUUGGUUCUGUUAAUCAAUUUUAAUGCAACUCUUUGUAUUAAUCAUUUUUCAGGAAUUCAAAAGAUGUUCGUUUCGAAUUUAGUUGGUUACUGCUAUGAUCUUCUAUUAUAUUAAAGGUGGUUUGAAGCAUGUUUUAGCUGUCGUUAACUUGAAUUAUUUUGUUUUGUUGAAGCUUAGAGUAUGGGAUUCUGCUUUGUUUAAUUGGUAUGUUAUGGCAUGCUAUUUUUAUUUGAUUUUGUUCUAUAGCAGUGGGUAGUGUCUAGCCCAAGGCAGCGCCUAGGUUGCAAGUUUGAGGGCAGGAGCUAAUUCUGAUUUUUUUUAUGCCUUGGAAACUAUCUUGUUUACUGCAAUUCUUAUAUUAUUAAAUCUGAAAUUUUCAAGUGUGUUGUGCUUGGUGUUGAAGAUCAUAUUAAAUCACUUGGGAUACUAUUUUCAUUGAUCUGUAGUAAUUUUUAGGGAUAUUAGGUAGCACUAUUUCCUCCCUACUUCCGCUAAGUAUGGUAUUUAUGCUUACUGAUGUUUCAAUAUUGUUUCAGUAUUGUAGUUAGUGAAGGUGGUGUAGCGAUAAUGAUGUGUCACAUAUUUUGUUUUGAGUUAGUCUUGAUGUUCUUGUGAUUGUUUCAGUACUGCAAAGGAAAGCAUGUGCGAACGAUAACUUCUUUUUUGUUCUGUGCUAUAUGUUUAGGAUGGAUGGGUUAUUUGCUCGUCCCUUCCAAUCUAUAGGGAAGGAAAGGAACCAGUAUAAAUAAAUACAACAUUCAUUGGGUCUCUAGGUUUUAGGUGAUAAUAAAAUUCUCAAAAUUCGGGUGCACAUUUCAUGCGACUCGACUACAACUUCAAAUUAGUUUAAAAUAUGAGCAUUCAUAGCUUGCUUUAGGUGCAAUGUAAUAAAUCAUCAUAUCUACGGGUAUUGUUCCCAUGACGUAGUUGUGAUACAUAAUUUCAAAAUCUAGGUGUACAUUUCAUGUGACCCGAUAUCAAUAAUGUUAAAUAAAAUAAACAUGUUGUGAAGUGCAGGUGCAUAUCAUGUAGCAUGGUUUAUGAUGUGUUUUCAAAAACAAACAAGUGUAUGAUGAUCACGAAUUUUCUUAAAAAAACAUUAAAAGAGGUCGGAAAGUGAAAGAUGCACGUAGGUUUAAAAUGUGUAAUUAAUCAGAUAACUAGGCCAAUAGUAAUAGUUGAGUGACUGUGCUAAAACCAAGGAACCCGAGAAUGCCUAACACCUUCUCUCGUGUUAACAAAAUUCAUUACCCCGAUUUCUGUAUUUCGCGGAGUAUAAAACAGUGUCAAACUUCCUCGAUUCGGAAUUUUAAACUGGUGACUUGGGACACCAAUAAUUAUCCCAAGUGGCGACUCUGAAUUUGAAUAAAUAAUCUCGUUUCAGUUUUGUCCCUUUAAUUGAAAAAACUCUCUUAUACCCUUUUGGGUAGAAAAAGGAGGUGUAACAGUUCCCAUAGAUUUGUUUUAGAAAAUGCAUUCCAAAAGAAAAUUUCAAAAAGAAAAAAAAGAGAGAGAUAAAGAACAAAAAGAAAAGAAAAAAGAAAAGAAAAAAAAAGAAAAAAAAUAGCAACAAAAAAACAAAACAAGAAUUAGUUGUGAGCUACGUUCGACCUGAUUCUUGUCACCACAAGAUAUGUAGGAAGCCUUACGGUUCGGUCACACCAAAUAAAAUAUCUCAUAAUCCCAUAAAGUCAAGAGGAGGGCGGUUUCUCUUAGAAUCAAAUUCUCCUGUUUUAGAAAUUGGGGCAAAGUUUUUAAAUGGAUUUCAAAAGUUGUAAAUAAAUUAACUAUGUUAUCUUAGUUAUUUUGAGCCUUUAUGAUAUCUCUUCUUUCUAACCCUGUCCAAAAGCCAUAUUACAGUCCAAAAAAGACCUCCCAGAUAAUGUUUGAGAGUGUUGAGUUUAGACAUGCCAAGAGCAUAUCAUAUUUUUGCAAUGGUUAAUGCCUUGUCAUUUGCAAAAUCAAAGGAAAUAAGAAGAAAAGAACAAAAUGAGAGAGUCCUAUUGGUGAAAACCUUCACAGGUACCAAAAGACGACGGUGAGUUGAGAGAAAAAACAAAAUGAGAGAGGAUUGAUGGUUAAAAUCCAUUGGGCACUACAAGUCGAAUAAGGAUCAUGAAUAAGAUAGGAUAAUCGGAGCAUUGAAACCUAGUUUCACGGCGAAGAGGUACAACAAGAGUUGAAUAUUAGACUUGCUUGACAGAUUAGGCCACUUAAUCCAAAAGUGCAUGUCAUGGUCAUUAGAGUUGGUAUCCACAUGUGAUGACUCACUUGUGUUGCAAGUGAAUUUAGUGUUUUGAGGCCUAAAAACCUCCCUUUUACCUCACCUUGAUUUAUGUCCGUGGUCCGUACCUAUAUCCGGAAAGCCUUCUAUGUGAAAAUAUGAGAAAUAGAAAUUUUUGAGUUAAAAAAAUUGAUUAUGGUUGACUUUGGUCAAAAUUGUUAGCAAAUGAACCGGGAUCCGUGUUCUGACGAUCCCAGGAGGUCCGUAGUAAAAUAUGGGACUUGGGCGUAUGCCGGGAAACAAAUUCUGAGGUCCCAAGCCCAAGAAAUGAAUUUUUGAAAGAAAUUGUUUUCUGAAAAAUAUAAAGAUUUUUGAAAGUGAAAUGUUAUGUGAAACCUGUGGUAUCGGGCCCGUAUUAUGGUUCCGGAGCCCGAUACAGGUUUGAUAUGAUUUAUAUAUGUUGUAUGUAAAGUUUGGUGAACAACGGAGUUUAUUUGACGUGUGUUGGACUUCCGGUUGGAGAGUUAUAAACUUUGAGGGUUCUUGAUGAAAAUGUUGACUUUUGAGGUUUAAUUCAUGAUUUUACAUGUUAUUUUGAUGAUGUGAUCGCACGAGUAGGUCCAUAUGAUAUUUUUGAGGUUGUGUGUAUAUUUGGUUGGAGCCCCGAGGGCUCGGGUGAGUUUUGGGUAGGUUUCGUGGUGUCUUAGGCUUAAAUAUGGCUAUAGGAGGUUCAGAAAAACUGCAGCUCUCUAAACCUGCUAGUGCGGUCCGCACUGGUUUUGUGAUGUCCGCACUGGUGGCUCUGCGGCCGCAGUGGAUCUUGUGCUGUCCGCACAGGUUCACUGGUGACUGUGCGGCCGCAUUUGAUUUUUGUGUGGUCCGCACAGGGAGUCUGAGAGGCUGUGCGGCCGCAGUUGAUUUUGUGCGGUUCGCACAGAGGGUCUGAGAGGGGUAUACUAAGAUGAGAUUUUUAGUUAUUUUUCAUUUUUCAAAACCCAAAAAACAUAAGAGACGAUUUUUCAAAUAACUUUUCUUCUCCAAAACNNNNNNNNNNNNNNNNNNNNNNNNNAAAUUGGGUGUUUUGGGUAAAACCUAGGUAUUUUUAAAAAAUUGGGGAUUUGAAACUCGAUUUGAGGUCCGAUUUCAAAACAAAUUAUGUAUUUGGGUUCGUGGGGGAAUGAGUAAUCGGGUUUUGGUUCGAACCUCGGGUUUUGACCAUGUGGGCCCAGGGGCGAUUUUUGACUUUUUGGGUAAAACUUUAGAAAACUCAUUUUCAUGUAUUGGGGUUGAUUCAUUUAGUGUUUAUUGACGUAAUUAUGUAACUUGUGACUAGACACAAGCGAAUUGGUGGUGGAAUCAAGGGGUAAAGCUAUAGUUGUAUCGUGAAUUGUGUUCGUGGCAUCGAGGUAAGUGUUUGGUCUAACCUUAGCUUGAGGGAUUAAGUGUUUUGUCUUAUUUGCUACAUGUUAAUUGUGGAGUACGACGUAUAGUCAUGGUGACGAGUAUCUAUACGUUCAUGUCAAGCAUGCCCGUGAGUCUUGUAUUAUAAUUGUUAUGACUCUGUUGUGGUUUAUUGCGCUUCAUAUGUUAUUAUCACCAUUGUUCCCUUGUCGGAAUAUUUGUUUGAUAUUAAUGAUCCCUUACCGGGAUGUUUGUUUGGAUAGUAUUGUUCCCUUGGCAGGAUGUUGUUGAAAUAUCAUUGUUCCCUUGCGGGGAAGUUGUUAUAUUACUCUUGUUCCCUUGCCGGGAUUCCUUGUGAUCAUUGUUAGCUUGUAAAUGGGAGUGGGUGGUACCUACCACAAGAUAUAAUGAAAUGGGAGUGGGUGGCACGCCUACCACAAGAUAUAAUGAAAUGGGAGCGGGUGGUACGCUUACCACAAGAUAUAAUGAAAUGGGNNNNNNNNNNNNNNNNNNNNNNNNNAGCGGGUGGUACGCCUACCACAAGAUAUAAUGAAAUGGGAGCGGGUUGUACGCCUACCACAAGAUAAAUGAAAUGGGAGCGGGUGGUACGCCUAUCACGAAAUAAAUGAAAUGGAAGCUAGUGGCACGCCUGCCAUGAGAUAAAUGAAAUGGGAGCGGGUGGCACGCCUACCACGGAUAAAUGAAAUAGGAGCGGGUUGCACGCCUGCCACGAGAUACAGGAAAUGAGAUUGGGUUGCACGCCUGCAACAAGAGGUGAAAAGAAAGUGAAAUCUGCCUUUGUUUUCCUUAUUCUUGUUAGUGGUUGGAUUUUGAUUCCUUUAUAGUUCUCUUGAUAUUCUGUUUUACCUGUUUUCCCCGAAGUAUGUUUCCCCUUCCCACCUUUAUUUGUUUAUUCUGCUUUACUUUCCGCUAUAUAUUAAGUAACUGCAUAGGUUUAUUUGGUAGUCUGGUCCUAGUCUCGUCACUACUUCGCCGAGGUUAGGCUAGACACUUACAAGAACAUGGGGUCGGUUGUGCUGAUACUAGACUCUGCACUAUGUGCAGAUCCCGGAGCAGCUUUUGGACCGUAGUGUGGAGGCUACCUUCAGUCCAAGGUAGACCUGCAGGCGUCCGCAGGCCCUGACGUCUCCUAUAUUCCCG
RNAcentral lists this long non-coding RNA (6548 nucleotides) under Nicotiana tabacum (common tobacco). RNAcentral describes it as "long non-coding RNA (NTAB_LNC003061)". The record is from RNAcentral. Lineage: Eukaryota; Viridiplantae; Streptophyta; Magnoliopsida; Solanales; Solanaceae.